RNAcentral lists this non-coding RNA (45 nucleotides) under Schistosoma margrebowiei. Lineage: Eukaryota; Metazoa; Platyhelminthes; Trematoda; Strigeidida; Schistosomatidae. The record is from RNAcentral.
ACCCAGUUGACGAGUUCCAUAUGGGACGAAGCAUGUGUCCUGGAU